AACGAACGCUGGCGGCAUGCCUAACACAUGCAAGUCGAACGAGACCUUCGGGUCUAGUGGCGCACGGGUGCGUAACGCGUGGGAACCUGCCCUUAGGUUCGGAAUAACUCCCCGAAAGGGGUGCUAAUACCGGAUAAUGUCUUCGGACCAAAGAUUUAUCGCCUUUUUAUGGGCCCGCGUUGGAUUAGCUAGUUGGUAGGGUAAAAGCCUACCAAGGCGACGAUCCAUAGCUGGUCUGAGAGGAUGAUCAGCCACACUGGGACUGAGACACGGCCCAGACUCAUACGCGAGGCAGCAGUAGGGAAUAUUGGAAAAUGGGCGAAAGCCUGAUCCAGCAAUGCCGCGUGAGUGAUGAAGGCCUUAGGGUUGUAAAGCUCUUUUAACCGGGAUGAUAAUGACAGUACCGGGAGAAUAAGCUCCGGCUAACUCCGUG
RNAcentral lists this ribosomal RNA (433 nucleotides) under uncultured bacterium. RNAcentral's name for it is "partial 16S ribosomal RNA". It matches the Rfam family "Bacterial small subunit ribosomal RNA", at positions 29 to 507 of the family's 1533-position model. The record is from RNAcentral.